GAUGAACGCUGGCGGCGUGCCUAAUACAUGCAAGUCGAGCGAACAGACGAGGAGCUUGCUCCUCUUACGUUAGCGGCGGACGGGUGAGUAACACGUGGAUAACCUACCUAUAAGACUGGGAUAACUUCGGGAAACCGGAGCUAAUACCGGAUAAUAUAUUGAACCGCAUGGUUCAAUAGUGAAAGACGGUUUUGCUGUCACUUAUAGAUGGAUCCGCGCCGCAUUAGCUAGUUGGUAAGGUAACGGCUUACCAAGGCAACGAUGCGUAGCCGACCUGAGAGGGUGAUCGGACACACUGGAACUGAGACACGGUCCAGACUCCUACGGGAGGCAGCAGUAGGGAAUCUUCCGCAAUGGGCGAAAGCUUGACGGAGCAACGCCGCGUGAGUGAUGAAGGUCUUCGGAUCGUAAAACUCUGUUAUUAGGGAAGAACAAAUGUGUAAGUAACUAUGCACGUCUUGACGGUACCUAAUCAGAAAGCCACGGCUAACUACGUG
This 497-nucleotide ribosomal RNA is filed under the name uncultured bacterium. Its description in RNAcentral is "partial 16S ribosomal RNA". It matches the Rfam family "Bacterial small subunit ribosomal RNA", at positions 28 to 507 of the family's 1533-position model. The record is from RNAcentral.